RNAcentral lists this ribosomal RNA (496 nucleotides) under uncultured bacterium. RNAcentral describes it as "partial 16S ribosomal RNA". It matches the Rfam family "Bacterial small subunit ribosomal RNA", at positions 29 to 507 of the family's 1533-position model. The record is from RNAcentral.
AUGAACGCUGGCGGCGUGCCUAAUACAUGCAAGUCGAGCGAACGGACGAGAAGCUUGCUUCUCUGAUGUUAGCGGCGGACGGGUGAGUAACACGUGGAUAACCUACCUAUAAGACUGGGAUAACUUCGGGAAACCGGAGCUAAUACCGGAUAAUAUUUUGAACCGCAUGGUUCAAAAGUGAAAGACGGUCUUGCUGUCACUUAUAGAUGGAUCCGCGCUGCAUUAGCUAGUUGGUAAGGUAACGGCUUACCAAGGCAACGAUGCAUAGCCGACCUGAGAGGGUGAUCGGCCACACUGGAACUGAGACACGGUCCAGACUCCUACGGGAGGCAGCAGUAGGGAAUCUUCCGCAAUGGGCGAAAGCCUGACGGAGCAACGCCGCGUGAGUGAUGAAGGCCUUCGGAUCGUAAAACUCUGUUAUUAGGGAAGAACAUAUGUGUAAGUAACUGUGCACAUCUUGACGGUACCUAAUCAGAAAGCCACGGCUAACUACGUG